GCUGAUUGAAUAUAUUAUGAAUUGAUGCGAUGACAUUUGGUAUUCCUGCUUAAUUGUUCGUUAAUCUGAACAUAUAUUUUGUUUAAUUUUGGAUACUACUACCCUGUAAAUCUAUAUGGUUGAUAGGAAACAUGUGUAGAGAUGAAGACACUCUAGAUUGUUUUAAUUUCGAUUUUGACAUUAAUUUGAAAAUCAAGGAAAAACUUUCAUUCGAUUAGUCGUUUUAUAUUCGUUUUGAGUAAACUACUGGUCAUUUAUGCAUUCACUGAACACUUGGUAGGCGACGUUAAAACGUUAAAGACGUUGAACGUUUUAGGUUUUCUUUAUGAGAAUAGCUUGGCAUAGCUCAGAAGGUAGGAAUUGAGGCUGAUGUAUAUGCUUCUGAUCGGCAUUCUUUUCCCCAUUAUCAAAUAUGUUUUCAUUUUUUUAUUUGAUAUUCUACUUCAGUUGAUUUUCAUGAAUGUGUUUGAUGUUCUACUUCAAUUGCUUUUCAUGAAUGUGUUUGAUGUUCUACUUCAAUUGCUUUUCAUGAAUGUGUUUGAUGUUCUACUUCAAUUGCUUUUCAUGAAUGUGUUUGAUGUUCUACUUCAAUUGCUUUUCAUGAAUGUGAUAUGGGAUUAGUUGUGUUUAUAAUAUCUCU
This 640-nucleotide long non-coding RNA is filed under the name Lactuca sativa (garden lettuce). Its description in RNAcentral is "long non-coding RNA (LSAT_LNC004866)". Lineage: Eukaryota; Viridiplantae; Streptophyta; Magnoliopsida; Asterales; Asteraceae. The record is from RNAcentral.